This 71-nucleotide transfer RNA is filed under the name Loxodonta africana (African savanna elephant). It matches the Rfam family "tRNA". Rfam says of the family: Transfer RNA (tRNA) molecules are approximately 80 nucleotides in length. The record is from Rfam by way of RNAcentral. Lineage: Eukaryota; Metazoa; Chordata; Mammalia; Proboscidea; Elephantidae.
GCAGUAGUGGUUCAGUAGUAGAAUUCUCAUCUUCCACGUGAGAGACCCAGGUUCGAGUCCCAGCCAAUGCA